This 408-nucleotide ribosomal RNA is filed under the name uncultured bacterium. RNAcentral's name for it is "partial 16S ribosomal RNA". It matches the Rfam family "Bacterial small subunit ribosomal RNA", at positions 28 to 526 of the family's 1533-position model. The record is from RNAcentral.
GACGAACGCUGGCGGCGUGCCUAAUACAUGCAAGUCGAGCGAAGCGGCGGAUGGGUGAGUCACGCGUGGGUAACCUGCCCUUCAGUCUGGAAUACCAUUUGUAACCAGAUCCUAAUACCGGAUACUAAAGGAUUGACCUGCGAUGCAUUAGCUAGUUGGUACGGUAACGGCUCACCAAGGCGAUGAUGCAUAGCCGAGUUGAGAGACUGACCGGCCACAUUGGGACUGAGAAACGGCCCAGACUCCUAAGGGAGGCAGCAGUAGGGAAUCUUCCACAAUGGACGAAAGCCUGAUGGAGCCAUGCCGCGUGAGUGAAGAAGGUUUUCGGAUCGUAAAGCUCUGUCGUUGGUGAAGCGGUAAUCAACCAGAAAGUCACGGCUAACUACGUGCCAGCAGCCGCGGUAAUAC